This is a non-coding RNA of Styela clava, 377 nucleotides long. NCBI's taxonomy places the organism in Eukaryota, Metazoa, Chordata, Ascidiacea, Stolidobranchia, Styelidae. The record is from RefSeq and is a predicted model, not a curated record.
CUAAGUUAUUAUACUAAGUUACUUGUACUCGUUGAUACGAUGACUCCGGCCAAAGUCUAUCUUAUAUGUGCAUUGUGCACAUGUCUGUUAAUUACAUCAUGUGUGGGUGGAAAGAGUGGCAUAGAGACAAAACAAUCAACAUAUACGGGUGGCGGCGGACAAUGGCCAUCAGGGAAAAAGAAAAGAAGCUUGGCGGACAAAAGAGAAGAAAAUGAAGAGAAAUUUGUCUACUUCGAGUUUGAGUGAACAAUUAGCAACGGAAAAGUUUCACGACAGCAAACAUAACAUGUAUCAUAUCCAUUGAAAUAUUGAACGACUCCAGAAGAAUUAUAUUGGUGCCGAGUAUGUCAUAUCACAACACAUUUAUCUUAACUCUU